GGCAAGCAGAGUAAAGGAUGAAUUACCUUUGGGUCAGUCUGAGCACAUGUGCAAUUCUCAUGUCAAGUAUGGAGUAGACUGUCUAAAUCUGAAGCUCAGGAGAGAGAUCCAGCAUGUGAAGUCACCAGUGGCUACAAGGCCAAGGAGUUAGAAGACACUGCCCAAGGAGAGUACAGAUUGAACAGAGAGGGAUAUCAACACUGGACUUACAUAUUUUAAAUGAAGAAACUCCGGAAUAUUUUGCCUCAAAAACUGUGACUUCUGUAUUCCACGGACCACUACAUUAAUUUUUCUCUUCUAUUGCAGCUUUUUAUAGUCUUCAACAACAACCAGUCCCUACAUUUAAGAAGGUUAAUAACUGAGACAGCCUUCCUGGUGGAUCCAUCAUUUGGCCCAGCUUGUAGAAAGAUUCCCAACUAGCUCUAAUUAGUUCCAUCUUAUUUGGAGGCAGAGGUAUUCCUCAUCAUACCCAUAUCCUCAUAUAAAUUGUCCAGGUAAGUUGGGAGUGCAGUGGCGUGAUCUCAGCUCACUGCAACCUCUGCCUCCCGAGUUCAAGUGAUUCUCCUGCCUCAGCCUCCCAAGUAGCUGGGAUUAUAGGUGCCUGCCACCAGGCCUGGCUAAUUAUUUUUUGUAUUUUUAGUAGAAACAUAGUUUCACUAUGUUGGCCAGGCUGGUCUUGAACUCCUGACCUUGUGAUCCACCCGCCUCAGCCUCCCAAAGUGCUGGGAUACAGGUGUGAGCCACCAUGCCCGGCCAGUUCUUAAUACUGCCAGGAGUGCUUUAGAAGGCUGGGAAUAUGGGGCGAAAGAUUAGACACCCAAGCUGUUGAAAACCACACAGAGUUUCAGUAAAUAUAUGCACAAUUUGAAAAAUAUAUUUGCAAAAAUCUAGGUGUCUCCGGUCUAGUCCUUCCUAUUAAUCAAAUAAAUUACCGAGCUUCAUGGCCCAGUCUAUGAUCCUAGUUCUGACCGCUGCUGCCCGUAAAGGCCUCAACCAAGUAGGCAGGCAGCAAAGCCACAGCCAUGUGUUGGUUUGCGCAGUUUCUGUUCUGAGGUAUGUCAGUGAGGAUACUCAGUGGUGUUGUCAGGACAAGGUUAGGACACUGUAUUUAAAAGUUGAAUAAUUUCCUAAAUAUCUUUUAAUCUCUCCUUGAUCCAUAUUAAGCUCACUAAUAUUUUCAGUCUAUAUCAAUCUCUUGAGUACUAGGUUCCAUAAGGUUACUGCUUCAUUCACUUUCUACAUUUUUGUGUAUCCUGAAGUUACUUUAGCUACAUUUCUAGAGAAGCCCUCAUGCUCUACCAUUCUCAGAUUUAAUAAAUUGGCUGAUAGAAACAAGAUCCCCCCAAAAAUCUCAACAGACUGGAAUGAUAAAAAGGAUUAAGAAUAAAUUAGGAAUUUUGAACUGAGGUUCAGUAAUCAGCCAGUUAACUAUGGAAUGAUGGUAAAAAAAAGAUGGAUGCUGCCACUUAAUGGUCAACCAU
This 1481-nucleotide long non-coding RNA is filed under the name Homo sapiens (human). RNAcentral describes it as "non-protein coding lnc-CYR61-2:2". The record is from RNAcentral. Lineage: Eukaryota; Metazoa; Chordata; Mammalia; Primates; Hominidae.